AAAGACUUGACGGUACUUCACAACACUCUAGAGGAGCCUGUCUAAUAACCGAUACCCCACGAUUAACCCCACCCGUUCUAGCCCUACAGUCUAUAUACCGCCGUCGCCAGCCUACCUUGUGAAAGAGAUAAAGUAAGCAAAAUAAACCACCUUUAACACGACAGGUCAAGGUGUAACUAAUGAACGGGCAAAAGAUGGGCUACAUUUUCUAACACAGAAAACACGAAUCAAGCCAUGAAACCGAAACUGAAGGUGGAUUUAGUAGUAAGAUAAAAAUAGAAUGUUUA
Molecule: ribosomal RNA, 287 nt
Filed under: Drepanoides anomalus
Lineage: Eukaryota; Metazoa; Chordata; Lepidosauria; Squamata; Dipsadidae
Description: partial 12S ribosomal RNA
Source: RNAcentral